Long non-coding RNA from Rosa rugosa (rugosa rose), 523 nucleotides. RefSeq lists it as uncharacterized. Lineage: Eukaryota; Viridiplantae; Streptophyta; Magnoliopsida; Rosales; Rosaceae. The record is from RefSeq and is a predicted model, not a curated record. The transcript is spliced from 3 exons.
CAAAUUUAGACACACUGGGACAAGAUGGAAAAGAGGUACAUAUUUCUGUGAGAAAGGGAACAUAAAUUUCUUUUUCAGGAGAUAAAUUUAUAUGAUGUUAGUCUUUGAUGUUUUCACUGAUGAUCAGCUGACCAAUGGAAGAUUCGUCUUCAGCUGACUAAGCCUGUUACUUGGCCUCCAUUGUUAUGGGGAGUAGUUUGCGGAGCUGCUGCCUCUGAUAUAUGAUAUAGUAAGGUACAGACUGCAUCGUAUGAGGACUAAAUAAAAGAUGAAUUGGAGGACAAGAACACAGAUCAGGAAUAUGUAUGCCCCAACUGCGGGAAAAGGUUUCAACUGUCCUCAUAAUAUAUAUUGUUGCAUAUACGUACAAGUACCAAAUGAAAGGCAAGUUCUAUUAGUGCCCUUUAAUUUGGUGGCUUACCUUUUGACAAUGCCGUAUGUUCAUCUAAUUUAUUUGAUGAAGUCAAAAGAACCUUUUGUUUAUUUUUGUUUAGGGUAAAUAGAUUGAUGAGGCCUUUUUUGA